GAAAGAAUGCAAAUAGCACCGGCUGAGCCGAACAUUUCAUAAAGAAGGGAACAGCCAGCGACCCAAAGGGCUCCGGAUCUCCCUGCGGCACCCGGUGAAGACCAUUUCUGCAAUUUAUCAAGACCAUUUUGAAUCCUAACCCUGGCCUCCGAAGCACUUGCAGCCUGUCCCAGCCUGGUUUCAGCAGCAGUUUUAACCAAAUUAAAUCGUGGACGAGCGAAAGAGAGAGGCCAUCAGAAUUACCGACUGCCCGAUCCCCUAAAUGCAGGAGAUACUUUUCCAAGGCUUUUGAACUCAAACGUGGAACAGAAGGAAGACGCGGGGGG
Molecule: long non-coding RNA, 326 nt
Filed under: Columba livia (rock pigeon)
Lineage: Eukaryota; Metazoa; Chordata; Aves; Columbiformes; Columbidae
Description: partial uncharacterized LOC102094550
Source: RNAcentral